GAUGAACGCUGGCGGCGUGCCUAAUACAUGCAAGUCGAGCGAACAGACGAGGAGCUUGCUCCUCUGACGUUAGCGGCGGACGGGUGAGUAACACGUGGAUAACCUACCUAUAAGACUGGGAUAACUUCGGGAAACCGGAGCUAAUACCGGAUAAUAUAUUGAACCGCAUGGUUCAAUAGUGAAAGACGGUUUUGCUGUCACUUAUAGAUGGAUCCGCGCCGCAUUAGCUAGUUGGUAAGGUAACGGCUUACCAAGGCAACGAUGCGUAGCCGACCUGAGAGGGUGAUCGGCCAAACUGGAACUGAGACACGGUCCAGACUCCUAAGGGAGGCAGCAGUAGGGAAUCUUCCGCAAUGGGCGAAAGCCUGACGGAGCAAAGCCGCGUGAGGGAAGAAGGUCUUCGGAUCGUAAAACUCUGUUAUUAGGGAAGAAAAAAUGUGUAAGUAACUAUGCACGUCUUGACGGUACCUAAUCAGAAAGCCACGGCUAACUACGUG
This 497-nucleotide ribosomal RNA is filed under the name uncultured bacterium. RNAcentral describes it as "partial 16S ribosomal RNA". It matches the Rfam family "Bacterial small subunit ribosomal RNA", at positions 28 to 507 of the family's 1533-position model. The record is from RNAcentral.